AGUGCAGUGGCACGAUUUGGGCUCGGUGCAACAUCUGCCUCCCAGGUUCAAGCAAUUUUCCUGCCUCGACAGAGACAGGAUUUCACCAUGUUGGCCAGGCUGGUCUCGAACCCCUGACCUCAAGUGAUCCGCCUGCCUCAGCUUCCCAAAGUGCUGGGAUUACAGGUGUGGAGCCACUGCGCCCGGCCGGCAUUAUGAUUUUGUGUACUCUUGAAAUGGUUAUCUUUGUGGAUGAUUUUUUUUUCUUUUAAGCUGAAACUUACCUCAUGAAUAACUUGGUUAAAGUAAUAGGUGAUUAAAAUUUCAAUAGAAUCAAAUGAGACAAAAAUUUUAAACUGACUCAUUUGAUUUUCAACUUUACAGUCAUUGACCAUAAAGCACACUAAAAAUAUGUUAUUUUUAAAUACAUCUGAAAUAAAAAUACUUACUAAAAAGGAAGAAGCUGAAGAUGUAUAUUUAGACCAGCACACAAUUUUGAUUUCAGUUAGCCUUAUUCUAAUAUUUAGCUUUCAGAUCUUUCAUACACAUUUUCACGUACUUUGCAAUUGAGACCAGAAAUACUUGUAGGUCUUUCUGCAGAAUGAGUGGGUCCUUGCAAAGUGAGUGGGAAACUUAUUCCUAGAUCAGAAAUGUUUGCCUCUCUGAGUAAAAUGUUUCUUUGAGAUGAGCCAUAGAGGGGGCACCUUUUACUCAACUUUUCUUUGUUUUGAAACUUUGUUUCCCAUAUUGUUUUCAGCCUUUUGUUUAUAAUUAGAAAUUGUGAGAAGCUUCAUUUAGUGUUUAAAAAUGUGGGGAGAUAAAUCAGACUUAACAUGUAUGUAAGAUCAAUUCACUUAAAAGUAUGGUCCAAAUAGCAAAAAUAGGACCAGGUGAAACAUGUAGCCAUUUUUUAAAAACAUGUACUUGGUCUUUUGUGUGUGUCUGUUUUAUUCCAUUAGAAUAAAUGUGUCCUUGAUGUAAAUGCAAAGCAUUUCUUCCUGAUUAAAUUGUAGAUGUAGACUUUACAAUAUAAUUCAAUAAUAAAAAGUAAUUAACCUCUAGUUUUGUCGUUGCAAUAAAUGGUUUUCAGAUAGC
RNAcentral lists this long non-coding RNA (1074 nucleotides) under Pongo abelii (Sumatran orangutan). RNAcentral describes it as "lncRNA (ENSPPYG00000037780.1)". The record is from RNAcentral. Lineage: Eukaryota; Metazoa; Chordata; Mammalia; Primates; Hominidae.